Molecule: ribosomal RNA, 468 nt
Filed under: uncultured organism
Description: partial 16S ribosomal RNA
Rfam family: Bacterial small subunit ribosomal RNA
Source: RNAcentral
CACUCCUGCGGGAGGCAGCAGUGAGGAAUAUUGGACAAUGGGUGGAAGCCUGAUCCAGCCAUCCCGCGUGCAGGAAGACGGCCCUAUGGGUUGUAAACUGCUUUUAUCUGGGGAUAAACCUACUUACGUGUAAGUAGCUGAAGGUACCAGAAGAAUAAGCACCGGCUAACUCCGUGCCAGCAGCCGCGGUAAUACGGAGGGUGCAAGCGUUAUCCGGAUUUAUUGGGUUUAAAGGGUCCGUAGGCGGACUGAUAAGUCAGUGGUGAAAUCCGACAGCUUAACUGUCGAACUGCCAUUGAUACUGUUAGUCUUGAGUAAGGUUGAAGUGGCUGGAAUAAGUAGUGUAGCGGUGAAAUGCAUAGAUAUUACUUAGAACACCAAUUGCGAAGGCAGGUCACUAAGUCUUAACUGACGCUGAUGGACGAAAGCGUGGGGAGCGAACAGGAUUAGAAACCCUGGUAGUCCCAU